UACGGAGGUGGCAAGCGUUGUUCGGAAUCACUGGGCGUAAAGGGCGCGUAGGCGGCCUUGCAAGUCGGUUGGUGAAAGCCCGGGGCUCAACCCCGGAGGUGCGGCCGAGACUGCAGGGCUGGAGGCCGGAAGAGGAGGGUGGAAUACCCAGUGUAGAGGUGAAAUUCGUAGAUAUUGGGUGGAACACCGGUGGCGAAAGCGGCUCUCUGGUCCGGACCUGACGCUGAGGCGCGAAAGCGUGGGGAGCAAACAGG
This 254-nucleotide ribosomal RNA is filed under the name uncultured bacterium. RNAcentral's name for it is "partial 16S ribosomal RNA". It matches the Rfam family "Bacterial small subunit ribosomal RNA", at positions 524 to 776 of the family's 1533-position model. The record is from RNAcentral.